Molecule: non-coding RNA, 537 nt
Organism: Paramuricea clavata
Lineage: Eukaryota; Metazoa; Cnidaria; Anthozoa; Malacalcyonacea; Plexauridae
Source: the annotation of a GenBank genome assembly
AAUACUAUAAUCUAUUUCCAUACUGUUCAGGAGAAUGAGGGAGAAAGCGGACAUCAGGGCUGAAAUAAUCGAAAAGGUAGCUAUGGAAUGAGUCAUUAUUUGUAUAAAUCACUGUGUCUGUAAAUUUGUAUAAUAUGGUAACACUAAAUUCGUUCUGGAACAAGGGUAUAUAUUGUAUUUAUGCUAGUAUCUGAUAUUUAUAUUAUAUUUCCUAUUUUUAUUAUUUAUAUGUGUAUAAAAUUAGAGAAUUAUACGACACUAUAGGUUUCGGAUGAAAAUGGAAGAAAUUAGGGCUCUUCUAAUAGUUUGAAUCAUGGAAGAAUAGCACAGAUGGAUUUUCAGAUUUUGCUCCAAAGGUGCAAAAAAUUCAGGGGGGGGGGAGAGGUGAACUAGGAUUAAUCCAAUUAGCAGUUAAAUUUCUGGGGGAGGGUGCAAAUUUCUCCAGGUGGGGUGGGAAAACUUUCUUAGGGGGUGGAAAGUAUUGUGCACACCCCCCGCCACCCCCCAAAAAUAUAGUUCCAUGGGAUAUUUAAUUAC